GACAGAGGAGGCAAGCGUUGUUCGGAAUUAUUGGGCUUAAAGCGCGUGUAGGCGGCCGCGUAAGUGCUUUGUGAAAGUCCACGGCUCAACCGUGGAAUUGCAGGGCAUACUGCGCGGCUUGAGGUCGGUAGAGGUGGCCGGAACUCUAGGUGGCGCGGUGAAAUGCGUAGAUAUCUAGAGGAACGCCGGAGGCGAAAGCGGGCCACUGGGACGAUUCUGGCGCGGAGACGCGAAAGCGUGGUGAGCAAACAGG
This 253-nucleotide ribosomal RNA is filed under the name uncultured bacterium. RNAcentral's name for it is "partial 16S ribosomal RNA". It matches the Rfam family "Bacterial small subunit ribosomal RNA", at positions 524 to 776 of the family's 1533-position model. The record is from RNAcentral.